UGCCAGCCGCCGCGGUAAUACGGAGGAUGCAAGCGUUAUCCGGAAUCAUUGGGUUUAAAGGGUCCGUAGGCGGAUAAUUAAGUCAGGGGUGAAAGUCUGCAGCUCAACUGUAGGACUGCCCUUGAUACUGGUUAUCUUGAAUCGUUGUGAAGUGGCUAGAAUAUGUAGUGUAGCGGUGAAAUGCAUAGAUAUUACAUAGAAUACCGAUUGCGAAGGCGGCUAACUGGCUCGGUACUGACGCUGAGAUGCGAAAGCGUGGGGAGCAAACAGGAUUAGAUA
RNAcentral lists this ribosomal RNA (279 nucleotides) under uncultured bacterium. RNAcentral's name for it is "partial 16S ribosomal RNA". It matches the Rfam family "Bacterial small subunit ribosomal RNA", at positions 506 to 784 of the family's 1533-position model. The record is from RNAcentral.